RNAcentral lists this ribosomal RNA (231 nucleotides) under Morganella morganii. RNAcentral's name for it is "partial 23S ribosomal RNA". It matches the Rfam family "Bacterial large subunit ribosomal RNA", at positions 2700 to 2925 of the family's 2925-position model. The record is from RNAcentral. Lineage: Bacteria; Pseudomonadati; Pseudomonadota; Gammaproteobacteria; Enterobacterales; Morganellaceae.
AACGCACCACUGGUGUACGGGUUGUGAUGCCAAUUGCAUUGCCCGGUAGCUAAGUGCGGAAGAGAUAACCGCUGAAAGCAUCUAAGCGGGAAACUUGCCUCGAGAUGAGUCUUCCCUGACCCUUUAAGGGUCCUGAAGGAACGUUUGAGACUAAGACGUUGAUAGGCUGGGUGUGUAAGCGCAGCGAUGCGUUGAGCUGACCAGUACUAAUGAACCGAGAGGCUUAACCUG